AAGUCGUAACAAGGUUUCCGUAGGUGAACCUGCGGAAGGAUCAUUAACAAAGCGUAGGACUUCCCCAGUCACUUUAAAGUCAAUAGGGCAAAGAGAAAUCUAGCUCUAUUGAUGGCUGGAAGGAAGUCUUUCACUUAUCAACCACUUGUGAACAUACCAACCAUAUUACCGAAGACUGAUUUAACGAUUGGUGUUUAAAGACACUAGUAAUCAAAAAACAACUUUUGGCAACGGAUCUCUUGGCUCUC
RNAcentral lists this unclassified non-coding RNA (248 nucleotides) under fungal sp. RNAcentral's name for it is "partial internal transcribed spacer region". The stretch from base 1 to 46 matches the Rfam family "Eukaryotic small subunit ribosomal RNA", at positions 1786 to 1831 of the family's 1831-position model. The record is from RNAcentral. Lineage: Eukaryota; Fungi.